Small nucleolar RNA from Ictidomys tridecemlineatus (thirteen-lined ground squirrel), 238 nucleotides. Ensembl annotates it as small nucleolar RNA, C/D box 17. Its record names the gene SNORD17. Lineage: Eukaryota; Metazoa; Chordata; Mammalia; Rodentia; Sciuridae. The record is from Ensembl.
GUGAAAUGAUGAUUCAGUUUAUCCAUUCGCUGAGUGUGCUGCAUUGACCUUCUUCCAAGCCUCAGUUCCUGUUCUAGAAACUUUGGUGCUAUGUAGCCUCCAAAUGCCCUGCAGUCUGCAAUGUUCUAUUGCAGAUUGCUUGUGUGUUGGUAGCCUACUGGUAAGAGUGGUUGAUGUCAGCAGGGAUGGGUCCCUCUGGGUCCUAUCUUACCAAGAUGAGUGGUGCAAAUCUGAUCAC